RNAcentral lists this ribosomal RNA (239 nucleotides) under uncultured bacterium. RNAcentral's name for it is "partial 16S ribosomal RNA". It matches the Rfam family "Bacterial small subunit ribosomal RNA", at positions 15 to 236 of the family's 1533-position model. The record is from RNAcentral.
GAUCAUGGCUCAGGAUGAACGCUGGCGGCGUGCCUAACACAUGCAAGUCGAGCGAAGCGUUUUAAAGGAAGUUUUCGGAUGGAAUUUGAAAUGACUGAGCGGCGGACGGGUGAGUAACGCGUGGGUAACCUGCCUCAUACAGGGGGAUAACAGUUAGAAAUGACUGCUAAUACCGCAUAAGCACACAGUACCGCAUGGUACAGAGUGAAAAACUCCGGUGGUAUGAGAUGGACCCGNGU